This 508-nucleotide long non-coding RNA is filed under the name Gallus gallus (chicken). The record is from RNAcentral. Lineage: Eukaryota; Metazoa; Chordata; Aves; Galliformes; Phasianidae.
GGCGCAGUACUCACACCAGUGCGGGCCCCUGAACGUGUGCACCUUGAAGUUAUGAAUCUUCUCGUAUUUGGGAACAUGCUCGUUUUCUUUCAGCGUCGCUCUUCUGACAAGCGAUGUCAGCUGCGAAUAAGCAAAGAGUUUCAGAGGUUGCCAGAUCGUCACCGAGGACUUCUGCGCGCCCAGCUUCAUCCCCAGGGCUGCUAUCAGCAGAUCGGGCUGGCGGCCCUCUCGCUUGGAGUUGCGCACCGCCGAUCUAUUAGCUCUGUGCCCCGGCCACGACUCUUUGGACGGCAUUUUGGAACUGACGGGAGGAGAGCCGGCCGCGCCGCCGCCUGUCAGGCUCGCUCUGACGGCGCCGGGAGGGGCAUGGCAGCGGCGGCCCGCUGUGGGCACGGCUAGCUCGGCGGGACGCGGCGCUGCGGGGGGCUCCCCGCCGGCAUGGCGGCACCGGCCCGCAGCUCUCCGUCCGCCGGCGGCCGCGGCUGCGGAGCGCUCCCGCCGCCCCGCG